This 76-nucleotide transfer RNA is filed under the name Enterobacteriaceae endosymbiont of Donacia tomentosa. RNAcentral describes it as "tRNA-His". It matches the Rfam family "tRNA". From Rfam's summary of the family: Transfer RNA (tRNA) molecules are approximately 80 nucleotides in length. Their secondary structure includes four short double-helical elements and three loops (D, anti-codon, and T loops). Further hydrogen bonds mediate the characteristic L-shaped molecular structure. tRNAs have two regions of fundamental functional importance: the anti-codon, which is responsible for specific mRNA codon recognition, and the 3' end, to which the tRNAs corresponding amino acid is attached (by aminoacyl-tRNA synthetases). tRNAs cope with the degeneracy of the genetic code in two manners: having more than one tRNA (with a specific anti-codon) for a particular amino acid; and 'wobble' base-pairing, i.e. permitting non-standard base-pairing at the 3rd anti-codon position. Lineage: Bacteria; Pseudomonadati; Pseudomonadota; Gammaproteobacteria; Enterobacterales; Enterobacteriaceae. The record is from RNAcentral.
GUGGUUAUAGCUCAGAUGGUAGAGCACUGGAUUGUGGUUCCGGUUGUCAUGGGUUCGAUUCCCAUUAAUCACCCCA